RNAcentral lists this long non-coding RNA (308 nucleotides) under Hordeum vulgare. Its description in RNAcentral is "long non-coding RNA (HVUL_LNC017379)". Lineage: Eukaryota; Viridiplantae; Streptophyta; Magnoliopsida; Poales; Poaceae. The record is from RNAcentral.
CACGAAGAUGGCCAGAGGCACGUGUCGUGCCUCGUAAUAAUCUCUUUAUUGCUUUUCUCGUUUUUCUGGUGCUUACAAACGACGCAGGCUGAUGCAUAUAUAUAGGUGCAGCAGCCGACUCCAAACAAUCGACCGCGACUCGUAUUUCCUAAUUGCUUUUAGUCUUUGACUCGUCCACGGCAUGCAAGCCGCCGGAUGCAAAGUACUGCUAGCUUCUAUUUAACUAGGACACGGACUAUUACACGGAAAACAAACCGGCUUAUACUAAGCUUUCCUAUUUCUACUCUUAACACGUUUGGAUUACUAAC